GAUGAACGCUGGCGGCGUGCCUAAUACAUGCAAGUCGAGCGAACGGACGAGAAGCUUGCUUUUCUGAUGUUAGCGGCGGACGGGUGAGUAACACGUGGAUAACCUACCUAUAAGACUGGGAUAACUUCGGGAAACCGGAGCUAAUACCGGAUAAUAUUUUGAACCGCAUGGUUCAAAAGUGAAAGACGGUCUUGCUGUCACUUAUAGAUGGAUCCGCGCUGCAUUAGCUAGUUGGUAAGGUAACGGCUUACCAAGGCAACGAUGCAUAGCCGACCUGAGAGGGUGAUCGGCCACACUGGAACUGAGACACGGUCCAGACUCCUACGGGAGGCAGCAGUAGGGAAUCUUCCGCAAGGGGCGAAAGCCUGACGGAGCAACGCCGCGUGGGUGAGGAAGGUCUUCGGAUCGUAAAACGCUGUUAUUAGGGAAGAACAUAUGUGUAAGUAACUUUGCACAUCUGGACGGUACCUAAUCAGAAAGCCACGGCUAACUACGU
Molecule: ribosomal RNA, 496 nt
Filed under: uncultured bacterium
Lineage: Bacteria
Description: partial 16S ribosomal RNA
Rfam family: Bacterial small subunit ribosomal RNA
Source: RNAcentral